GCCCUUCGCUCCUUAAUGUGAAUUGCAGAAUUCCUUUCCUCCUCUCAUCUUUGAACGCACCUUGCGCUCCUUGGUAUUCCUUGGAGCAUGCCUGUUUGAGUAUCAUGAAAUCUUCAAAGUAAAUCUUUUGUUAACUCAAUUGGUUUCUACUUUGGUAUUGGAGGUCUUUGCAGCUUCACACCUGCUCCUCUUUGUUCAUUAGCUGGAUCUCAGUGUUAUGCUUGGUUCCACUCGGCGUGAUAAGUUAUCUAUCGCUGAGGACACUGUAAAAGGUGGCCAAGGUAAAUGCAGAUGAACCGCUUCUAAUAGUCCAUUGACUUGGACAAUACUUUUAUGAUCUGAUCUCAAAUCAGGUAGGACUACCCGCUGAACUUAAGC
RNAcentral lists this unclassified non-coding RNA (378 nucleotides) under plant metagenome. RNAcentral's name for it is "partial contains 5.8S ribosomal RNA, internal transcribed spacer 2, and large subunit ribosomal RNA". The stretch from base 1 to 105 matches the Rfam family "5.8S ribosomal RNA", at positions 50 to 154 of the family's 154-position model. The record is from RNAcentral.